UCAAAUCACAAGAUAGUCUCCCUCUCAUCCCUUCCUAUUAUCUAUAAUAAGUACUAACUAAUCUUGACUAUGGGAAGUGGUAACCAUCAUAUUCAUAUUAACAAAUAGCACCAGUCAAAUGCAAAUGUUCAAUAUAUAUCAGCUUUUCAGUGUUUUAAAAAAUGCUAAAAGAGAUCAGUGAUACUUUCUACCAGUGUUUUAAAAACCGGACCGGACCGGCCGGUCGAACCGGUUGGACCAGGAACCGGAGGUGCAGCGGUUUGGUCU
RNAcentral lists this long non-coding RNA (267 nucleotides) under Trifolium pratense (red clover). Its description in RNAcentral is "long non-coding RNA (TPRA_LNC010855)". Lineage: Eukaryota; Viridiplantae; Streptophyta; Magnoliopsida; Fabales; Fabaceae. The record is from RNAcentral.